AGCGAACGCUGGCGGUAGGCCUAACACAUGCAAGUCGAACGGCAGCACAGUAAGAGCUUGCUCUUACGGGUGGCGAGUGGCGGACGGGAGAGGAAUACAUCGGAAUCUACUUUUUCGUGGGGGAUAACGUAGGGAAACUUACGCUAAUACAGCAUACGACCUUCGGGUGAAAGCAGUGGAUCUUCGGACCUUGCGCGAUUGAAUGAGCCGAUGUCGGAUUAGCUAGUUGGCGGGGUAAAGGCCGACCAAAGCGACGAUCCGUAGCUGGUCUGAGAGGAUGAUCAGCGACACUGGAACUUGGACACGGUCCAGACUCCUACGGGAGGCAGCAGUGGGGAAUAUUGGACAAUGGGCGCAAGCCUGAUCCAGCCAUACCGCGUGGGUGAAGAAGGCCUUCUGGUUGUAAAGCCCUUUUGUUGGGAAAGAAAAGCAGCAGGUUAAUACCCCGCUGUUCUGACGGUACCCAAAGAAUAAGCACCGGCUAACUUCGUG
Molecule: ribosomal RNA, 492 nt
Filed under: uncultured bacterium
Lineage: Bacteria
Description: partial 16S ribosomal RNA
Rfam family: Bacterial small subunit ribosomal RNA
Source: RNAcentral